GAUGAACGCUGGCGGCAUGCUUUACACACGCAAGUCGAACGGUAACAGGCCGCAAGGUGCUGACGAGUGGCGAACGGGUGAGUAAUGCAUCGGAACGUGCCCAGUCGUGGGGGAUAACGCAGCGAAAGCUGUGCUAAUACCGCAUACGAUCUAUGGAUGAAAGCGGGGGACCGUAAGGCCUCGCGCGAUUGGAGCGGCCGAUGUCCGAUUAGGUAGUUGGUGGGGUAAAGGCUCACCAAGCCAACGAUCUGUAGCUGGUCUGAGAGGACGACCAGCCACACUGGGACUGAGACACGGCCCAGACUCCUACGGGAGGCAGCAGUGGGGAAUUUUGGACAAUGGGCGCAAGCCUGAUCCAGCAAUGCCGCGUGCAGGAAGAAGGCCUUCGGGUUGUAAACUGCUUUUGUACGGAACGAAAAGGUUUGGGUUAAUACCCUGGGCCGAUGACGGUACCGUAAGAAUAAGCACCGGCUAACUACGUGCCAGCCGCCGCCGUAA
Molecule: ribosomal RNA, 498 nt
Filed under: uncultured bacterium
Lineage: Bacteria
Description: partial 16S ribosomal RNA
Rfam family: Bacterial small subunit ribosomal RNA
Source: RNAcentral